RNAcentral lists this ribosomal RNA (610 nucleotides) under uncultured bacterium. RNAcentral's name for it is "bacterial SSU rRNA". The stretch from base 1 to 531 matches the Rfam family "Bacterial small subunit ribosomal RNA", at positions 338 to 873 of the family's 1533-position model. The record is from RNAcentral.
CCUACGGGAGGCAGCAGUGGGGAAUAUUGCACAAUGGGCGAAAGCCUGAUGCAGCAACGCCGCGUGAGGGAUGACGGCCUUCGGGUUGUAAACCUCUUUUAGUAAGGAAGAAGAACUUCGGUUUGACGGUACUUGCAGAAAAAGCACCGGCUAACUACGUGCCAGCAGCCGCGGUAAUACGUAGGGUGCAAGCGUUGUCCGGAAUUAUUGGGCGUAAAGAGCUCGUAGGCGGUUUGUCGCGUCUGCUGUGAAAUCCCGAGGCUCAACCUCGGGCUUGCAGUGGGUACGGGCAGACUAGAGUGCGGUAGGGGAGAUUGGAAUUCCUGGUGUAGCGGUGGAAUGCGCAGAUAUCAGGAGGAACACCGAUGGCGAAGGCAGAUCUCUGGGCCGUAACUGACGCUGAGGAGCGAAAGCAUGGGGAGCGAACAGGAUUAGAUACCCUGGUAGUCCAUGCCGUAAACGUUGGGAACUAGAUGUAGGGGCCAUUCCACGGUUUCUGUGUCGCNGCUACGACACUACGUACCGUCCGUCGGNGGUACGGCCGCGACGACGUAACUAACAACAGAGUAGUACGCGNGAGACGAGCGACGACGACGACGACGGGAGGAGG